GGGACACUGAUGGACGCAGCUGUCCCUCAGCCGACAAGUCCAGACCGAAACACCUCACAGGAGACCCGGUUGGGUUUUCCACCAGGAGGGCUCAGGUCAGGUCAGGUGCUUCUGCUAAAUGUGUUGUGAAACCAACAGCCAGCCUUUUUCAGCCUGCCUCUAGACCAGGAGGCAGGAAUGUGCUCGGUAAUGCAGCUGUGGUACUCCCGCCCAUAGACCCCCAGUAGGAGCCAAGCAACCCUGGGAUGAAGGCAGAGUGUGGGCUGGCUGGAGGGCCUGGGAAGGCCGCUGGGGAGGAUGGGCCUUGUGAAGCUGUGCUUCCUCCGAGCUCUAACUUAGAUCACAUGGAGAUUUGGAAGGACUGUUGGUGUGUCUUUCAGGGUGUUGCUAGAAUCAGGGAACGCUAAAGCCUCCAGAGCCACCAAAACUGUCACCACUGGGAACAAAGGCUUUUGUCCCUAGAAAGAAAGAAACAAGUAUAAUUCCACAAUAUGAGAGAAAAGAUCUCAAAUGAGUGAUGUGGACGUCAUUUUGGAAGCUGGAGAGCAGAUAGACCAAUGGCACUUGACUCAGUAGUCAGAGCAGAACCUGAGACCACAAGAGCGGGCAGUGGGAAUGGGCAAGGAAGCCAAGAAGAAGCAAACCAAUUCUAACUACAGCUCCAAAAAGGCACCGGGAUUGGAGGUUCCAGGUACCUCUAAAAACAGGGGUAGGAGGUGGGGACAAAAAUAGGAGGAUCCAUUGAAAUUAUUACAAGGGGUAGUUAUAUUUCAGGAUCCCCUCUUCUCCACAGCUAAGCAAUUGCCUCUACCCUGCCCCAGCAGAAAACUGGAGGUUGAGUCUCCUUCUGAAUGUGGGGCACCAGGUGCAACUGAACAUGAGUGUGUAUGUAAAUGUCCAAGUACUGAAUGGUGACACCCUAUCUCCAGUUUUCCACCUAUCUUGUGCAUGGAAUGUUAAUAGGCAGGAGGUUGGAGGAUUUUUCUCUAGGGAAAUGAAUGAGCCCAAGAGAAAAGAACCAGCAUGAAUGGCCUUUGGGAGUUUUCCAACAAAGAAUUUCCGACCUGAUCACCCUACAGGGAAACGAAAAAGUCAAAAGUUCUCAUCCAUUCACAUGAAGCUUCCAAACAAAGAUUUUAGAAUCUCACUUUUAAAUAGGAAUAAUCAAUUGAGAAUUAUUAGACACCUCAGGAAUGCCUAUGACGUGAAAGACAGUGGCACUAGACUGCCCAACAGUAGCCCCAGAAGAUCAAAGACAAUGGAGUGGUGCCUUCAGGAUGCUGGGAAAUUAUCUCAAAACUGGAAUUCCAUACUCUAUAGUUUACAUGUAGAUAGAAUAAAGACAUCUUCAAGUAUUAUAAGGUCUCAAAAAUUUAAGUUUUAUACACUCUUUCAUAAAAAGCUGCUAGAUGAUGUUCUUCACCAAAAUAAGUCAAUUAAUAAAGAAAGGGAAAGAGAGGCAUUCAUAAAAUAGGGAAUCCAGCAAGAGUGAAGAGAAAAAAUCCAUAGGAUUUCCUGACGGGGAAAAUCCCAGGGCAACAGUGGUGCAGCAGUCCUACAGAGAAGCAGACCAAAUUGGUGCAAGAAGACAGAGGGCUCCAAAAAAGAUGUUUUAUUUGAGGGUGGAUGGGGUAGGGGAUGUGGGUGAAUGUGAGCCACCAUACUGUUUGAACCCAUUGGAGUGGAUUUUUAAUUUAUUUUUAUUUAUUUAGUUUUUUGAGACAGGUUCUCACUCUGCUGCCCAGACUGCAGUGCAAUGGCGCGAUCCUGGCUCACUGCAACCUCCGCCUCCUGGGCUCAAGCCAUCCUCCCAUCUCAGCCUCCAGAGUAGCUGGGACUACAGGUGCACAUCACCAUGCCCAGCUAAGUUGUUUUUUUGGUUUUUUUUUUUUUUUGUAGAGAUGGAGUUUUGCCAUGUUGGCCCAGGCUGGUCUCAAACUCCUGGGCUCAAGCGAUCCACAUGCCUUGGCCCCUCAAAGUGCUGGGAUUACAGGUGUGAGCCACUAUGCCCAGCCUAAGAUUUUUAAAAAAAUUCUCUUAGAUAUAUUGAAGAUGAAAGGUGCAUAAAAUACUAAACAAGUGAAAUAUGGGGCAAUUAAUAACUCUAGGGAAAAUGAACACAAGGAAAUGUAUUAUAGCAUGCAAUAUAGCUUCCUUUGUAAAUAACAUCUACAUGGACAUAAUUUUUAAGAACAUACUAUAUUGAUUUAACCAAAAAAUAGUCAUCUAAUUAUUAAUAUAUUGGGAAGAUGAAGGAAGUAUAUGGUAAAGGGUAGGGCUAGAAGAACAAUAUAGGGGAUCUAACGCCACAUCUUCCACGGUGGAAAGUCAACUGAUAGGUAAGAAGAAGUAGGAACUGAAAAACUAGAAUUUGUGUUACAAGUAUUUUAUUUAGAAAAGAAGAUAGGGUUGGGCACAGUGGUUCACA
This 2428-nucleotide long non-coding RNA is filed under the name Homo sapiens (human). RNAcentral's name for it is "HSALNT0023748". The record is from RNAcentral. Lineage: Eukaryota; Metazoa; Chordata; Mammalia; Primates; Hominidae.